CAGCAGCCGCAGAGGGCGCUGGCGAGCCAUUGUAGAGGGCACCACCGUCCAGUCAUGGCCUCGGUUGUGCCGUAAGAUAUCAGCUGAUCGUUACGUGGCUAACAGCUGAUCGAUGCGCAGAGGUCAAACGGGUCAAGCGGCGCAAUGGAGGAAUGGUGUUAAUUACGUACGAAUAUACAGCUACAAACUGA
This 191-nucleotide long non-coding RNA is filed under the name Amphibalanus amphitrite. RNAcentral describes it as "uncharacterized LOC122393210". Lineage: Eukaryota; Metazoa; Arthropoda; Thecostraca; Balanomorpha; Balanidae. The record is from RNAcentral.